GGAUGGGUGACCUUCCGGAAAGUUUUCUCGGAAAGUGUGUGAGUGAGGACAAAGCACACUGGAAAGCCUCGUGUUGAUGUGUGGGGGCAGUCAGCAGUCCCUGUAAGUUGCCGGGGCGUUACAAAUGGUAUCAGAGCCUAGCCUCUCCCAGUACGGUGUGGUUCGAGGACGAACCAGACGGAAGCUGGUGGGCAUGUGACACCCGGGCACUAACGAGGGCGGGGAGUGAUCGCUGGUGCAAGAGGCAUGGACAAGGAGCGGCUCCUGGCAGGCUUCCAGUGGAAGGGGCACGUGGACGAAUCGAACAUACACCGGAAUGAGAGGGAUCUAGAGAUUGUAUAGGUAUGGGACUAUACAGUUGAAGGAUAGCUUAAAGGAAUUGAUUUGGCUACUCAUAUCAACAAAUGCAUUUGCUUUUCGGUAGCCUAACUCAUAAGAACUCCAUGGUUAAGCGUGCUUAGCCUAGAGUAAUUAUGGGACGGGUGACCCUCCGAGAAGUUUUCUCAGAAAGUGUGUGAGUGAGGACAAAGCACACUAGAAAGCUUCGUGUUGAUGUAUGGGGGCAGUCAGCAGUCCCUGUAAUUGCUGGGGCGUUAUUGGAAGCCAACUUUUAAUGGUGCUUCUGUCUCACAAAGGCCUAUAAAGAAAAUUUGUAGCCCUAAUCAACAACCUUAUCAUCAUCUUUUAUACUCUCUCCAACCUCCUUCAUUAAGAACAUCCAAUGCUAUCAUUCCCACGAUUUUUUUUCUUGCAUAACA
RNAcentral lists this long non-coding RNA (758 nucleotides) under Vigna radiata. Its description in RNAcentral is "long non-coding RNA (VRAD_LNC003744)". Lineage: Eukaryota; Viridiplantae; Streptophyta; Magnoliopsida; Fabales; Fabaceae. The record is from RNAcentral.